This 1178-nucleotide long non-coding RNA is filed under the name Citrus maxima (pomelo). RNAcentral's name for it is "long non-coding RNA (CMAX_LNC002170)". The record is from RNAcentral. Lineage: Eukaryota; Viridiplantae; Streptophyta; Magnoliopsida; Sapindales; Rutaceae.
GAACUUAGGUUGAUGUCAAAAGAGGUAAUUGAAUUGGCCUGUCAAGAUGGAUGCUUUUUAUUUAUCCGGCAGCAGAGCAGGACUAUGAAAAAGAGAAGCUUAUUACAGGUAAUUCAAGUUUACUAGCUUUUCAUAUAGUAUGUGUUUUGGCUGAUUUAUCUAAUUCACCAAAUUUCAUUACUUUUUGAUAUUGAGAUGUUGUAAUUAAGUUAUAAUAGUUAUAAAAAAAUUAUAAUUUUAAAAUAAAAAUAGAUAAUGUAUAAUAAAUAUAACUUUUAAAUAAUAAUUUUAAAAAAUAACAAAUAUAUAUUAUAAGUUUUUCAUUAUAUAACUGUGGAAUCAAAUCAAUUUACUUUUCAAGUUACAGUAACUAAUAUUUACCUAAUACUUUAGUACCGUAACUUAAAGUCUACAGAACUCAAAGAAAUAUUUUUUGCAUCUUCAUAUUUGUGUGAAUUCAUCCUUUCAUUGAGAAAAACCAUUUCCAGGCGGCAGUUGGCAGUGAAUUCACGCAAAUUUUGAUGCCAUUCAUAGACAUUAAAGACAAUGAGGAGGCAAAGGUGAUAAAUCAUAACUGCAUAAUUAUCAAAUCUCCAUCUUUCUCUCAUUGUAAUUUGAUUUUCAAUGAAUAAUUGCUAGGUAAUGGUUGCCGAUAUUGUUAAAACGUGUGUUCAGCUACCCAAGCUAAAAAGUUAGUUGCCAAAAAUGCAGGGGAUCAAAAGAAACAUUGCAUUUGAAAAGGCCAGAGGUUCUGUUUGAUUUUCCUGACCAAAUCGAAUUAUUUUUUUUCUUCAUUCCAAUGCCAAGAAUGUUAUCAUGAGACUCACCAAGAAGUUAAAUCUCAGGGCAUUGUUACAUCUUACCUCUAUGAAGGGACUCAAAGAGUUGAGGUGAAUACAUCUUUGUUAUUUUGAUGCCAGAAUUGUGCAAUUCUCAGUUGGUUCCUUUCACAUGCUGUUGACUGCAGUGCAUCUAGUUGAUGUGCAUCUUUGAUGUGACCCCGGGAAAAUGCUUGUAUGGUGUUCUUGUAAUUUCAUUUGGAGAUAAGUAAUAUCUGUUGUUCAAAUAUAUUUUAUUUACAAGCUGUUAAUAAAUCUGCUUGCAGAAAGCUUACAGAGGAGCUGCGUGAUGUAAUAGAAGACUACAGUCUGGUUAAUUUUCAACCUUAGAUAUUCAGG